This 2393-nucleotide long non-coding RNA is filed under the name Malus domestica (apple). RNAcentral's name for it is "long non-coding RNA (MDOM_LNC015961)". The record is from RNAcentral. Lineage: Eukaryota; Viridiplantae; Streptophyta; Magnoliopsida; Rosales; Rosaceae.
CAAAUAAUCCAAAGAACACAAUGAUUUAUACUGGUUCGGCGUAAGCCUACGUCCAGUUCCGAGACGGCAAGGAAAUUCCACUUAUAUCAAAAGGAGAUUACAAAUAGAGUUUUAACUCUCAAACCCAAAUCCCACAUACAACCAAUAGCUCUCACUCGAACUAAGAAACAAAUGGAGAAGAAGAAACACAUAUCAAAAUCCUUCUCUCCCAAAAGCUACACAAGUAGCACCAACAUCUUUGAUUGAGUGAUUACUAACAAAAUGGGAUUAUUACAAAUGGUGGGAAGGAGCAGCUCAUAUUCAAAUGGGAGAGCCGAAUGCUCUCCCUGGUUUCUCUCAUCUGCCGCUCCCCCCCUUUUCUUCUCUCGGCUUCUCCUCAAACAUAUAGCAGCUGCUGCUGCCUUAGAAAAUACCCAAAGAAAAGCUCUUUUGUCAAGUUGCAAAGGAAGGAGCCGAAUAAACCCAAUUCCAUUUGCCUAUAAAAAAAUCCAAAGUAAAGGAAUAAUCAUUCCUUUACAAACAUCAUCAUGACCUUCCUUUUUCUUUUCAACAAACAUCAUCAUUGUGUUUUUACUCAUGAUGAUGUCCACCAAACUUUUCUUUGUUUAAUAGCCGAAAGGAGAGUUGGCUUGUUGUCCCCUUGGCCACUAAUUUGGCCACUAUCCAACAAUCUCCACCUUGGCCAAAUUUCGAAAACUUCACAGAGAAUCGAAUCAACAAUCACCAUAAGCACCCAAAGUACAAACUAAAGACAACGGGAACUAUAUCAAAUUCCCAAACUCUCGGUACUCAUAAUGAUCUCCACCUCGACUCAAAUUGUACCAAAGCCAACAAAAGUAGACCAUUUCUCUACCGUCUUCUCCAAAUUUGCAAACCAUAAGUGCCUUGAUCAAAACAAAAGUGAUUCAAACGAAGAACUGAAAUUCUUCAAUAUCACCGACAAAAGAUCAAGCACACCAUACCAAAGUUGGACAUACAACGAACUCCACUUGCUCACAAACACCAUGGUCUGAAACUGUACCAAUAGACUCAUUCACAUAGCAUGGCAUAUUCUCCAAGUCAAAACUGAUUACAAAUUUGGCAACAAGGUCUAACAUACCACAUACAAAAAAAUAUGCCCUUCACUCAAGUUUACCAUCAUCACAUGAGCACCAACAGGACAACCAAAAAUUUCAAAUUCAAAUAAUCAGCAGGAGAUCCAAAAUCAUACCUCAACUGGAGUCUUCAAGAAAACUAAUUGCAGAUGAUGGAGACCAACAGACCAAAUAGCAGUGGCAAACAAAUCCAACCAAAUGUCUAUAGACCAAACAAAGUUAGAAAGCAUAUAACUUGCCUUCUACAAGAGGGUUCCACACAAAUGUUAUGCAGUGCAAGUGGUGUAUCCAAAAUAGUGUUAUGUCUCACUAUCCAAACCUUUGCAGAACUCAACAAAUUGGCCCUCACAAACUCCUCCAAUGUUUCCAUCAACUUGCUCCAAAGGCAACUAGUGGGAGUGAAGAAAAACUUCUCUACCGUUGAAAAAAUGCCAAAGAGAAGAAAACUUAGCCUUAGCCUUUUUCCCUUUUCUUUAGCCAACAACAUCAUUUGUCAUCAUGAUGUCCUUCUGCCAAAACAAAUGGCAAAAGAAAAGGAACCAACAUUUUCUUUUCAAUUCUCAACAACUUCUACUUUUUUUUUCCGGAACCAUUCUCCAAUAUGCGAGCUCAGGGACUGCAUUAUGGUCCCUUACCAUCCUUCUUCAACGCCACACAUUUCGCAGCAAUGCAAGCAAAACUUGUAUCUCCAAUUGACCAAAUGCCAAAGUCAUUCCUCCUGUCAAAUUUUUUCAUAUUUCACCGUCAUUCGAAGAUUUCAUAGACAAACUAGUACAAAGCCUCCAAGUCGAAACCCGGAGCUCUGAUACCACUUGUUGUGCGGAAGCGUCAAAUAUGAAACCAAUAAAUUACAACGGCAAAAUAUGACAAGACAAAUAAUCCAAAGAACACAAUGAUUUAUACUGGUUCGGCGUAAGCCUACGUCCAGUUCCGAGACGGCGAGGAGAGGAAAUUCUACUUAUAUCAAAAGGAGAUUACAAAUAGAGUUUUAACUCUCAAACCCAAAUUCCACAUACAACCAAUAGCUCUCACUCAAACUAAGAAACAAAUGGAGAAGAAGAAACACAUAUCAAAAUCCUUCUCUCCCAAAAGCUACACAAGUAGCACCAACACCUUUGAUUGAGUGAUUACUAACAAAAUGGGAUUAUUACAAAUGGUGGGAAGGAGCAGCUCAUAUUCAAAUGGGAGAGCCGAAUGCUCUCCCUGGUUUCUCUCAUCUGCCGCUCCCUCCCUUUUCUUCUCUCGGCUUCUCCUCAAACAUAUAGCAGCUGCUGCUGCCUUAGAAAAUACCAAAAGAAA